RNAcentral lists this transfer RNA (75 nucleotides) under Candidatus Bathyarchaeota archaeon. RNAcentral's name for it is "tRNA-Phe". It matches the Rfam family "tRNA". From Rfam's summary of the family: Transfer RNA (tRNA) molecules are approximately 80 nucleotides in length. RNAcentral also lists the same sequence under 1 other name. Lineage: Archaea; Thermoproteati; Candidatus Bathyarchaeota. The record is from RNAcentral.
GCCGCGGUCUCAGACUGGGAGAGCACCCGGCUGAAGACCGGGCUGUCGGGAGUUCAAGUCUCCCCCGCGGCACCA